Long non-coding RNA from Oncorhynchus tshawytscha (Chinook salmon), 1675 nucleotides. NCBI's taxonomy places the organism in Eukaryota, Metazoa, Chordata, Actinopteri, Salmoniformes, Salmonidae. The record is from Ensembl.
AACACAAAUAAGCUGAAGUUAAACCGGUCAAUUGCUGAUGUCAGGGUUGGAAAAUGCUAUCGCGCUAUUUUUUUACAUAACAAAAUUGCUAUUUAACUUGAGUUGGACACUUGCGCCUCCUUACCGCCAGCCAAAAAUGUAGGAAUAUGUCUAAUUAGGAUUUCAAUAACCUAUAUUGUAUAUAUAAAUAAAACUGAUCGGUUCAAAGAGGUAAUGUUUUGGGAGUCAGAAGGUUGUUACCGUAUGAAAGGAAGAAUGGCUGUGACUGGAGAUCUGUUGGGUUCACCAGUAUCAGAUCUUGUUCCCAGAUCCACUUGUGUUUCCAGGCUCCAAGAUCCAAGACGGUUUACUGUUGGGAUCCAACAGCAGCUGUUUUGUCUGUUACAACAACAAACCAUCUUUAGCGUUCCUCCCUUUGGGGGUGACAGACAUGGAGCCUCCAUAGAAGUGUCCCGCUGAAGCCAGGGAGACCAGUAGCAGCAGAUGCAGCAACACCGGUGUGGAGGAGGACAUGAUGCCUGGAUCUCUCUGGAGGAUUCCUCUCUACCUAUCUGCCUCCAGCAUCCAACCUUCAAACCUUUAUACCUUCUCAGACCAACCAUCCAUUCAGGAGGAAUGUCAGAGCAGAUGCCAAAAUUGUUUCCUUUGUAACUCACCCUGGACAUGUUCUCUUUCUGACAGGUGUAACUGGUUUUAAUGAACUGGGAAACAAAGAUUAAAAUACCUUUUCAUAAUAACCUGAAACGAAAGGGGAAAUAAAGUUGUGAGUUACAGUAAUUCUGUAUAUCUUGAACUUGUCUCUGCUAAUCUUGCCUUUGAAAUUAUGAUGAAUUGGUCCUGCUACAGAUUACUUUGUAAAUACAUCCUUCAUUCCCUUGGGUAGGCUGGAUAGGUGAAAACAGCCAUCCACUACCCUUUCACCAAUCCAAUCCAUAUUCACCCAUGGUAUUGCUUCUUGAGGUGUUCUAAUUCUCUUUCCACGCCUGUUACCAUGGUGAGGAUUACACAAACACAAAAAGGAUGCUUUUCACGGUAAUUCAUGACAAUCACCUUUAAAUCAACGUGUGAGUCAAAACUAUGUUUUUAUACUUCUGCUCUGUCCCUAUCAGAUGUUUUUCUGUUUGACAUCGUUGAACUGGCAUGGGUGGGUUGGAAUCCAUCUGACUGACAGCAUGAAGAUGUUCAACAAGAUUAGGCCAUGAGGACAGGUGAUUUAUUAUCUCAUCUCUCUUGUCAAACAUCAGGACUCAAGGAUGUUGCUGACAAGUCAUUGAACUUGUUUGAGAUGAAACCUAUAGCAUAUUAUCAAAUGGCUUCCAGGGAGAUGCUUAAUAUGUUUUUCUGUUUGACAUCGUUGAACUGGCAUGGGUGGGUUGGAAUCCAUCUGACUGACAGCAUGAAGAUGUUCAACAAGAUUAGGCCAUGAGGACAGGACUCAAGGAUGUUGCUGACAAGUCAUUGAACUUGUUUGAGAUGAAACCUAUAGCAUAUUAUCAAAUGGCUUCCAGGGAGAUGCUUAAUGUGAGUUGGACAAUAGCACCUCAAAAUAAAUCCCUACAUAACCACUUGACCUUACAAUACUAAUACUAAAUACUUACAAUAGCAAAGGUUGAUCUGCACGAUAGAGACACCAACUCAACCAGACAGUAUGUGUUUUAUAGAUAUUGAAGUGAAC